UAGUCUGAAAAUUCACUCGGUUCUAGCGGGGAGCAGCCGCUAGAGGUAACGGGGAAAGUUCGGUGUAAAUCCGUCGCUGUCCCGCAACUGUAAGGAGACAAAACCUGUCUCUAAAGUCAGAAUGCCCGCCGAAAUUUAGAUAACUUU
RNAcentral lists this non-coding RNA (147 nucleotides) under Oscillatoria sp. The record is from RNAcentral. Lineage: Bacteria; Bacillati; Cyanobacteriota; Cyanophyceae; Oscillatoriales; Oscillatoriaceae.